UACAGAGGGUGCAAGCGUUAAUCGGAAUUACUGGGCGUAAAGCGUGCGUAGACGGUUACAUAAGUCGGGUGUGAAAGCCCCGGGCUCAACCUGGGAAUUGCAUUCGAGACUGCGUAGCUAGGGUGCGGAAGAGGGAAGCGGAAUUUCCGGUGUAGCGGUGAAAUGCGUAGAUAUCUGGAGGAACACCGGUGGCGAAGGCGGCAUCCUGGACCGGUAUUGACGCUGAGGCGCGAAAGCCAGGGGAGCAAACGGG
Molecule: ribosomal RNA, 253 nt
Filed under: uncultured bacterium
Lineage: Bacteria
Description: partial 16S ribosomal RNA
Rfam family: Bacterial small subunit ribosomal RNA
Source: RNAcentral